AGUGAACGCUGGCGGUAGGCCUAACACAUGCAAGUCGAACGGCAGCACAGGAGAGCUUGCUCUCUGGGUGGCGAGUGGCGGACGGGUGAGGAAUACAUCGGAAUCUACUCUGUCGUGGGGGAUAACGUAGGGAAACUUACGCUAAUACCGCAUACGACCUACGGGUGAAAGCAGGGGAUCUUCGGACCUCGCGCGAUUGAAUGAGCCGAUGUCGGAUUAGCUAGUUGGCGGGGCAAAGGCCCACCAAGGCGACGAUCCGUAGAUGGUCUGUGUGGAAAGUUAGACACACUGGAACUGAGAAACGGUCCAACAUACUACGGGAGGCAGCAGUGGGGAAUAUUGGAAAAUGAUGGCAAGACUUAUCCAGCCAUACCGCGUGGGGGAAAAAGGCCUUCGGGUUGUAAAGCCCUUUUGUUGGGAAAGAAAUCCAGCUGGCUAAUACCCGGUUGGGAUGACGGUACCCAGAGAAUAAGUACCGGCUAACUUCGUGCCAGCCGCCGCAGUAA
RNAcentral lists this ribosomal RNA (506 nucleotides) under uncultured bacterium. Its description in RNAcentral is "partial 16S ribosomal RNA". It matches the Rfam family "Bacterial small subunit ribosomal RNA", at positions 29 to 523 of the family's 1533-position model. The record is from RNAcentral.